UAGCAUGCUGCAGUAAGAAAGGAGUUGCUGCGGCAGCCAACCUACAGUAGAGGCUUAGUAGCAGUGUGUUUCUCCUCCAGGA
Molecule: small nucleolar RNA, 82 nt
Filed under: Erinaceus europaeus (western European hedgehog)
Lineage: Eukaryota; Metazoa; Chordata; Mammalia; Eulipotyphla; Erinaceidae
Description: Small nucleolar RNA U109 (ENSEEUG00000023061.1)
Source: RNAcentral